CACGUAGGCGGCUUUUUAAGUCAGGGGUGAAAUCCCGGGGCUCAACCCCGGAACUGCCCUUGAAACUGGGAAGCUAGAAUCCUGGAGAGGCGAGUGGAAUUCCGAGUGUAGAGGUGAAAUUCGUAGGUAUUCGGAAGAACACCAGUGGCGAAGGCGACUCGCUGGACAGGUAUUGACGCUGAGGUGCGAAAGCGUGGGGAGCAAACA
RNAcentral lists this ribosomal RNA (207 nucleotides) under uncultured bacterium. RNAcentral's name for it is "partial 16S ribosomal RNA". It matches the Rfam family "Bacterial small subunit ribosomal RNA", at positions 568 to 774 of the family's 1533-position model. The record is from RNAcentral.